This 403-nucleotide ribosomal RNA is filed under the name Verrucomicrobiota bacterium. RNAcentral's name for it is "Verrucomicrobia bacterium partial 16S ribosomal RNA". It matches the Rfam family "Bacterial small subunit ribosomal RNA", at positions 355 to 776 of the family's 1533-position model. Lineage: Bacteria; Pseudomonadati; Verrucomicrobiota. The record is from RNAcentral.
UGGGGAAUAUUGCACAAUGGGGGAAACCCUGAUGCAGCGACGCCGCGUGAGCGAAGAAGGCUUUCGAGUCGUAAAGCUCUGUCCUAUGAGAAGAUAAUGACGGUAUCAUAGGAGGAAGCCCUGGCUAAAUACGUGCCAGCAGCCGCGGUAAUACGUAUGGGGCGAGCGUUGUCCGGAAUUAUUGGGCGUAAAGGGUACGUAGGUGGUUUUUUAAGUCAGGUGUCAAAGCGUGGGGCUUAACUCCAUUAAGCACUUGAAACUGAAAGACUUGAGUGAAGGAGAGGAAAGUGGAAUUCCUAGUGUAGCGGUGAAAUGCGUAGAUAUUAGGAGGAAUACCGGUGGCGAAGGCGACUUUCUGGACUUUUACUGACGCUCAGGUACGAAAGCGUGGGGAGCAAACAGG